RNAcentral lists this ribosomal RNA (468 nucleotides) under uncultured bacterium. Its description in RNAcentral is "partial 16S ribosomal RNA". It matches the Rfam family "Bacterial small subunit ribosomal RNA", at positions 28 to 507 of the family's 1533-position model. The record is from RNAcentral.
GACGAACGCUGGCGGCGUGCUUAACACAUGCAAGUCGAACGGAAAGGCCCUGCUUUUGUGGGGUGCUCGAGUGGCGAACGUGUGUGUAACACGUGAGUAACCUGCCCUUGACUUUGGGAUAACUUCAGGAAACUGGGGCUAAUACCGGAUAGGAGCUCCUGCUGCAUGGUGGGGGUUGGAAAGUUUCGGCGGUUGGGGAUGGACUCGCGGCUUAUCAGCUUGUUGGUGGGGUAGUGGCGUACCAAGGCUUUGACGGGUAGCCGGCCUGAGAGGGUGACCGGGCACAUAGGGACUGAGAUACGGCCCAGACUCCUACGGGAGGCAGAAGUGGGGAAUAUUGCACAAUGGGCGGAAGACUGAUGCAGCAAAGCCGCGUGCGGGAUGACGGCCUUCGGGGUGUAAACCGUGUUCGCCUGUGACGAAGCGUGAGUGACGGUAAUGGGUAAAGAAGCACCGGCUAACUACGUG